This 647-nucleotide long non-coding RNA is filed under the name Capra hircus (goat). Its description in RNAcentral is "lncRNA (ENSCHIG00000005627.1)". The record is from RNAcentral. Lineage: Eukaryota; Metazoa; Chordata; Mammalia; Artiodactyla; Bovidae.
GAGACGACAGGAGGAGUCAGAAGCAGGAGGUUAAAAAAGACAAGAAACACACACACACACACACACACAAAGCCACCCCACAAAAGCCGUCUAAGUGGCUCCCUUUCGGGACCUGAGGCUUUCCAGCGAAACGUCCUGCGGAGAGCAGACCGUUUGGGGCCGCAGCAUCUUCCCUCCGGGGGCAACGCCUCGGGCCGCCGGGUGUGCGUCCUGGAGCUCUCGGCCCGGCUCAGCCGUCACUCCGGAGGCAGGGAGGUCUCAUCUCGCGUUGAGCGUGCGCUGGCUGCUGGAGACAGAUAUCAAGACGAUAAGAAGACCGCAGAGAAAGGCCUCUUGCUCUGCUGGGGGAGACAGACACACGGACCAAUGGCUGAAACCAGGGCGAUGAGCGCAGUGAAUCAUCUCAAUGGAAGCUGGAUGGAGGUGAUGCCAUGUUGCUCGUGGCCCCAGGCAUCUCGCGGAUGAAGAUGAAACUGCUCUCCAGAAGAAGAUAACCACCCAAACACAGAAGGAAAGAAAGUUCAAGGCAAGUGACAAUCUUCCAGUCCUAACCUCCACGAUUAUAGAAAAUAUAGUGGUGAUUUGUGUGCAAAGGUUUGAAAUUUAAAAGUACUGAGUUCCUGAAAUUCAAUAAAAUAUUUUUAUUA